CACUAUCGUUAACUGAAUACAUAGGUUAACGAGGCGAACCGGGGGAACUGAAACAUCUAAGUACCCCGAGGAAAAGAAAUCAACCGAGAUUCCCCCAGUAGCGGCGAGCGAACGGGGAGCAGCCCAGAGUCUGAAUCAGCUUGUGUGUUAGUGGAACGGUCUGGAAAGUCCGACGGUACAGGGUGAUAGUCCCGUACACCAAAAUGCACAGGUUGUGAACUCGAAGAGUAGGGCGGGACACGUGGUAUCCUGUCUGAAUAUGGGGGGACCAUCCUCCAAGGCUAAAUACUCCUGACUGACCGAUAGUGAACCAGUACCGUGAGGGAAAGGCGAAAAGAACCCCGGCGAGGGGAGUGAAAAAGAACCUGAAACCGUGUACGUACAAGCAGUGGGAGCACCUUCGGGUGUGACUGCGUACCUUUUGUAUAAUGGGUCAGCGACUUAUAUUCUGUAGCAAGGUUAACCGUAUAGGGGAGCCGCAGGGAAACCGAGUCUUAACUGGGCGUUAAGUUGCAGGGUAUAGACCCGAAACCCGGUGAUCUAGCCAUGGGCAGGUUGAAGGUUGGGUAACACUAACUGGAGGACCGAACCGACUAAUGUUGAAAAAUUAGCGGAUGACUUGUGGCUGGGGGUGAAAGGCCAAUCAAACCGGGAGAUAGCUGGUUCUCCCCGAAAGCUAUUUAGGUAGCGCCUCGUGAAUUCAUCUUCGGGGGUAGAGCACUGUUUCGGCUAGGGGGUCAUCCCGACUUACCAACCCGAUGCAAACUACGAAUACCGAAGAAUGUUAUCACGGGAGACACACGGCGGGUGCUAACGUCCGUCGUGAAGAGGGAAACAACCCAGACCGCCAGCUAAGGUCCCAAAGUCAUGGUUAAGUGGGAAACGAUGUGGGAAGGCACAGACAGCCAGGAUGUUGGCUUAGAAGCAGCCAUCAUUUAAAGAAAGCGUAAUAGCUCACUGGUCGAGUCGGCCUGCGCGGAAGAUGUAACGGGGCUAAACCAUGCACCGAAGCUGCGGCAGCGACACUAUGUGUUGUUGGGUAGGGGAGCGUUCUGUAAGCCUGCGAAGGUGACCUGUGAGGGUUGCUGGAGGUAUCAGAAGUGCGAAUGCUGACAUAAGUAACGAUAAAGCGGGUGAAAAGCCCGCUCGCCGGAAGACCAAGGGUUCCUGUCCAACGUUAAUCGGGGCAGGGUGAGUCGACCCCUAAGGCGAGGCCGAAAGGCGUAGUCGAUGGGAAACAGGUUAAUAUUCCUGUACUUGGUGUUACUGCGAAGGGGGGACGGAGAAGGCUAUGUUAGCCGGGCGACGGUUGUCCCGGUUUAAGCAUGUAGGCUGGUUAUCCAGGCAAAUCCGGAUAAUCAAGGCUGAGGUGUGAUGACGAGGCACUACGGUGCUGAAGUAACAAAUGCCCUGCUUCCAGGAAAAGCCUCUAAGCAUCAGGUAACAUUAAAUCGUACCCCAAACCGACACAGGUGGUCAGGUAGAGAAUACCAAGGCGCUUGAGAGAACUCGGGUGAAGGAACUAGGCAAAAUGGUGCCGUAACUUCGGGAGAAGGCACGCUGGUGUGUAGGUGAAGCCCCUGCGGGUGGAGCUGAGACCAGUCGAAGAUACCAGCUGGCUGCAACUGUUUAUUAAAAACACAGCACUGUGCAAACACGAAAGUGGACGUAUACGGUGUGACGCCUGCCCGGUGCCGGAAGGUUAAUUGAUGGGGUUAUCCGUAAGGAGAAGCUCUUGAUCGAAGCCCCGGUAAACGGCGGCCGUAACUAUAACGGUCCUAAGGUAGCGAAAUUCCUUGUCGGGUAAGUUCCGACCUGCACGAAUGGCGUAAUGAUGGCCAGGCUGUCUCCACCCGAGACUCAGUGAAAUUGAACUCGCUGUGAAGAUGCAGUGUACCCGCGGCAAGACGGAAAGACCCCGUGAACCUUUACUAUAGCUUGACACUGAACAUUGAGCCUUGAUGUGUAGGAUAGGUGGGAGGCUUUGAAGCGUGGACGCCAGUCUGCGUGGAGCCAACCUUGAAAUACCACCCUUUAAUGUUUGAUGUUCUAACGUUGGCCCCUGACCGGGGUUGCGGACAGUGUCUGGUGGGUAGUUUGACUGGGGCGGUCUCCUCCCAAAGCGUAACGGAGGAGCACGAAGGUUAGCUAAUCCUGGUCGGACAUCAGGAGGUUAGUGCAAUGGCAUAAGCUAGCUUGACUGCGAGCGUGACGGCGCGAGCAGGUGCGAAAGCAGGUCAUAGUGAUCCGGUGGUUCUGAAUGGAAGGGCCAUCGCUCAACGGAUAAAAGGUACUCCGGGGAUAACAGGCUGAUACCGCCCAAGAGUUCAUAUCGACGGCGGUGUUUGGCACCUCGAUGUCGGCUCAUCACAUCCUGGGGCUGAAGUAGGUCCCAAGGGUAUGGCUGUUCGCCAUUUAAAGUGGUACGCGAGCUGGGUUUAGAACGUCGUGAGACAGUUCGGUCCCUAUCUGCCGUGGGCGCUGGAGAAUUGAGGGGGGCUGCUCCUAGUACGAGAGGACCGGAGUGGACGCAUCACUGGUGUUCGGGUUGUCAUGCCAAUGGCACUGCCCGGUAGCUAAAUGCGGAAGAGAUAAGUGCUGAAAGCAUCUAAGCACGAAACUUGCCCCGAGAUGAGUUCUCCCUGAGACUUUAAGUCUCCUGAAGGAACGUUGAAGACGACGACGUUGAUAGGCCGGGUGUGUAAGCGCAGCGAUGCGUUGAGCUAACCGGUACUAAUGAACCGUGAGGCUUAACCUU
This 2758-nucleotide ribosomal RNA is filed under the name Klebsiella pneumoniae. Its description in RNAcentral is "bacterial LSU rRNA". It matches the Rfam family "Bacterial large subunit ribosomal RNA". Lineage: Bacteria; Pseudomonadati; Pseudomonadota; Gammaproteobacteria; Enterobacterales; Enterobacteriaceae. The record is from RNAcentral.